UGGCUCAGGACGAACGCUGGCGGCGUGCUUAACACAUGCAAGUCGAACGGUGAUGUCAGAGCUUGCUCUGGCGGAUCAGUGGCGAACGGGUGAGUAACACGUGAGUAACCUGCCCCCGACUCUGGGAUAACUGCUAGAAAUGGUAGCUAAUACCGGAUAUGACGAUUGGCCGCAUGGUCUGGUCGUGGAAAGAAUUUCGGUUGGGGAUGGACUCGCGGCCUAUCAGGUUGUUGGUGAGGUAAUGGCUCACCAAGCCUACGACGGGUAGCCGGC
Molecule: ribosomal RNA, 273 nt
Filed under: Clavibacter nebraskensis
Lineage: Bacteria; Bacillati; Actinomycetota; Actinomycetes; Micrococcales; Microbacteriaceae
Description: Clavibacter michiganensis subsp. nebraskensis partial 16S ribosomal RNA
Rfam family: Bacterial small subunit ribosomal RNA
Source: RNAcentral